Molecule: non-coding RNA, 357 nt
Organism: Prunus avium (sweet cherry)
Lineage: Eukaryota; Viridiplantae; Streptophyta; Magnoliopsida; Rosales; Rosaceae
Source: RefSeq, a predicted model, not a curated record
UUUUCCACAAUUUGGUUAUACACAGAGACGGCCUUUUAUUCUCUGAAAAAGUUGCAUACUAAGAAGAGGAAGAUUGUGGACAGACGAGCCUCUAAGAGUCGCAAGAUAAGGUAUAAUGUUCACGAGAAGAUAGUAAAUUUCAUGGCUCCGGAGCCUAUGACCCUUCCAACUAUGGUUCCAGACCUCAAUAAUUUGUUUGGGUUGAAGAACCAGAAACGAGCUUCUGUAGUGUAGUGGAUAGGCCUUUGGAUCCAGGCUCUGAAAUUUUGUUCGUUAUUUAAAUGAUUUGAUAUAAUAUUUAAUCUAAUAUAUGUUGUCCUGAUAUUUCUGUAAUCCAUUCCAUACCAAAUUUUGCAA